UUAAAAUGGGCAAAAACAUUUAAACGCCAACAAUAACGUUGAGCUUGUCGCGGCUUAAGCCGUGACCGUCCCACCCGGAGGGGCCACGAUCCGGGAUGGGGCGUCGUUGAGUGGCGAACGUGCGUGCGCAAAGCUUUGAGCGCACCAUGCAUCAUGAAGCUACCAAGCCCCUGAGUGUGUCAGCCCACGCUUGGGUAAGGGAAUGUAAAUGACUGUCUGCGCCCGGAGAAGUUCCCGUUGAAGCGUUUUCGGACGGGGGUUCGACUCCCCCCGCCUCCACCA
Molecule: transfer-messenger RNA, 282 nt
Filed under: human gut metagenome
Rfam family: transfer-messenger RNA
About the family: Bacterial tmRNA, also known as 10Sa RNA or SsrA, is named for its dual tRNA and mRNA-like properties.
Source: RNAcentral